Molecule: long non-coding RNA, 3268 nt
Filed under: Glycine max (soybean)
Lineage: Eukaryota; Viridiplantae; Streptophyta; Magnoliopsida; Fabales; Fabaceae
Description: long non-coding RNA (GMAX_LNC001801)
Source: RNAcentral
UUAACAAACGAGGGUGUUGUAUGUUCUCAGCUCAAGAAGUUCCAUGUUUUUUUUAUUUCAUGACUAUGGGUCAUUUCCAUUUUAGUUCCAAGAAGUUCCACUGAUACCAUUUUCUUUUUUAAUCUCUCUAUGGAAUCAUUUCUCCCCCUAAAGUAUAUCCCUUUUAGCUUGUGAUUUUAAUUUUCUAAUUCAUUGUUCGAUUCUGCUUCACAGGAAUGGUAGAUUUGAGGUGAAGAGGUUCCACAUUGGUCAAGUAAUCCUCAAAUCUAGCUUCACUUUAACUCGUGAACACCAAUUUCAUGCACUGAUUCAUGGACCAAGCAGUGUUUUGUGCCUGCUAGUUCUUGCUUGUAGCAGAUCUUGUGGAUUGACAGAUUCUAGGGUUUGAAAACAGAAACACUUCGUAACCAAAGAAGGACACCUUCAUAGGAGUAAGGUUAGAAACUAAAUGUCUAUGGUUAUGAUUACUGCAGAUUUAGUUUCCUUCCUUAUUACUGUCGAUUUAGUUUCCUCUUCAGCACUAACUUUGCCUAUAAAUAUAUGGGUCAGCCAGUGGGUGAUGGUUAGCAAACAUUGUAGAUAGAAAUCAUCAUAGAAUCAUAUAUUUACGUUUAUAGCUACCUCACAUAGGCCUAUUUGUGAUUAAUUUGAAAACAUUUUGGGGGUUGAAAAUAUAAAUUGAUUUUACUGGCCUAUAUAAACAUAUAUUUAUGUUUACAGCUACCUCACAUUCUGCUCUAUGUUAACUUUUAUUUUGUGUCCAAGAAAAAAAAAGGCAUGAACUCUUUGUCCCACACGGUAUUUGGUGAAAGCUCAUAGCAGAAUAUGAAAAAUGCAUUUGACUUAGCUUAUUAGUGUACGUUUAUUUUCUUUGACCAUAAAGUUUGAUGCAAUCCUACUCCCCAAGGGGCAUUGGAUAGAAGACUCCAAGAAGAUUGAGCCAGAGAUGUAAGAGAAGGCCCUAGGGUUCUCAUGAGCCUCAGGAUAGAUUUUGGGCCCAUAGGUUAAGUAUGAGCCCACUUGUCUUUGUAUAUAUUAGAUUAGAGUUUCGUUAUUUUUGAGCCGUGUGUUUAGGGCUCCAUAGUGUAGGGAAGGUAUCCUAGUAAUGUAGGAUUUUUUAGCCCUUGUAUUUUAGGACACCUAGACUAGUUUUUGUAUUAGGGGUAGUUUUGUAAUUUCACAUGCAUUAAGUGCAUUAUUUGAUGUGUGUGUUGGGAGAGAAAUUUAAUUGAAUUGGGAGAAGCCUAAUCCAAUUAAAUUUUGGACCAGCCUAAGGAGGAGGUGACCAUUUGUUUGCUACACCCCAUUGUCAUAUCAUAUAGUCAGACUUUGUGCAUGUCCUUCAUGCUUUACAUGCCUCAUGACACCUAAGUACACUUAGUAGAUAAUCUUGGACUUGAUCUUGGAUUAGUGGGUCGAACCAUAGUUGAAAUUCACUAAUUAUAAUUAGUGAAAUUUUGGCUCCACAAAUUCAAAUUCAAAUUCAAGUGUUUAUUCAAAUUUCCCUCCAAUUUUGUGCGACACUUAGGCUAUAAAUAAAGGCCUUGUGUGUGCAUUUUGUCAACUUUGAUCAUUUGAGAAGUUACACUUCAAAGUUUAGAUCUCGUUUUAGGCAUGAAUUUUGUGCCCCCUUCUCUCCCUUUGCCUCCACUCAUCUUCUCCUACCUUCAAGCUCUUGUCCAUGGCUUCCUAUGGUGGUGAGCUUAUUCUUGACUCAUCUUCUCCUUGAAGUGGUGUCUCCAAUAACCUUUCCUCCUUCUCCCUUUUGCUACCAUUGAUCUUCAAGAAGCAAAGGACUCCAUUGAUGAAGAAGAUCCAAGGCCUACAAGCUUUACAUGGAGCUACAUCAUGUGGUAUCAGAGCAUCUUCAUCUAGGUGAUGUUCUUUUGCUUCCUCUAUCUUUUUUUCAGUCAAUUCACUUAAAUUCCUUGUUCUUCAUCAUCUUCUCCAUGUAUCUCCUCCAUUGUCUUAUGGUUUGGUGUUGUUUAGAGUAGAUUCAAAAAAAUAUACCGAUUAAAUCUUAGAUCUACACUUGUUCUUGCAUUUCUAUGGUUCAAAUUUUAUAGAUCUACUCUUGAAUCAUGUUCUUGUGUUGAUUUUAGGUUCUAUCUUUCUUCAGUCAUAAUCUUCUUGUGUUGAAUCUUUAGAUCUCAAUUUUCUUGCAAAAUAUUGAUUAGAAAAGAAAACACAAAAAUCUAAGUGUAAAUUACUUCAUUCAUGUUGUCUUAGAGUCAUGUUUAGUCAUAAUAAUUGUCACAUUAUGUUCUAAGUUUAUGUUGAAUUUUGAUUUUGUUGAUUAAUUUUAGAUACAUCUGUGUUGGAUCAAGUGGCCUCGGAAUAAUUAAGAAAGGGGGGGGGGGUUGAAUUAAUUAUGAACGUGUUUUGACAAUUAAAAAUUUAUCCUUUUUAAUAUUACUAGAUUCAAUUAGGCUUUAUUGCUAAGUUAUGAAAAAGUAAAGAACAUAAACAAUAACUUAACCAAAAGUAAAAGCGACAAUUAAAAGUACACAACGAAAAUUAAAGAGUGUAGGGAAGAAGAAGACAAACACAAGAUUUAUACUGGUUCGGCCACAACCCGUGCCUACAUCCAGUCCCCAAGCAACCAUCGGUUCUUGAGAUUUCCAAUAACCUUGUAAAAUCCUUUACAAGUAAAGAUCCACAAGGGAUGUACCCUUCACUUGAACUGCUCCACAAGAGAUGUACCCUCUCUUGUUCUUAGUAUAACAACCCAAGUAGAUGUACCCUCUACUUGUACCCCAAAGGAUGUACCCUCCAAUGUGUUAAGACAAAGAAUUCUUAGGUGGUUAGUGAUGUGUCAUUAUUUUCUCCUAUUUCUUAACCCUUUUUGUCACCAUUUUAAUUAUUGAUUAGCCUUAAUCGUCAAAUUAAUUAUGCAGUUUUAUCAUUUGGGCCUACUUGACUAAUUUGGUGUUUUUAAUUUAAUUUCAGGAGAAUUAUAAGCAAUUGGGCUUGAAUUUGGAAUUGGGCUUGGACUUCAAGAGAGCAGACAAUUUUAUUUUAUCAAAUCUUAUCUUAUCUAGAUUUUAUUUCAUCUAGAUUUUAUUUCGUCCAGAUUUUAUUCCAUCAAAUCUUAUCUUAUCUUGUCCAGAUUUUAUUUUAUUUAUGGGCUUGGACUUAAAACAGAUUUGUAAGCUUUGGGGCUGAUGACCUAUAUAACAGCACCAAGGUUUUAGUUUAGAAAGUUUUAGAGAGAGGAGAAUAAUUCUAGGAUUUUAGAAUUCCUGUUUUUAUUACUGUUCAUGCACAC